CAAAUAUCACAUAGCAUAAACCAUAACUCACAUAGUCCUCAACAAACUACAUAACCGGAAUUUUGAUAAAUCCGCCAAAUUCUGAGAUACAAACAAACAUACAACCCUAGAAAUUCCCUAACAUCAUCACCAAAGAAAGUUAUGAACAAAAUCAAAAUAUCUUAACUUUAGUGAAGACCUGUAAAGAACUAAAGAUAGUGUUCUAACUUAUAGUUGAAGGAGGGUAGAUUAGUGUUUUAAUUUCUAAGUUAUAGUUCUCUGCUAUGAGAAAUCUUCACCCUUGCAUAAAACAAUUAUGCAAAUUUAGAUAGCACUUGCCUAGAAUUUCAAUAUAUAUUAGCUAGAUAAUCUCAAAUAAGUGAAGUACAAUUCUAACAAAAGCAUUAAAACAGUAAGAUCAGUGAUACAAUUUCUGCAGAUGCAGAACAAUCUAAGACCCAAAAGGCUUUGGCGGCUAUCUAGUUAGUUCUCAUAGUCAUCACAUAAGAGACUUCUGUUCAGUUUUCUCUUGUUAAAUAUAUUGAGACUUUCCAAUCAGCACAAUCAAUCAACAUGUAACGAAGAGCUAAAAUCCCAAGGUUUACCUAGUAUGAAGGUCUUCUUAAACUCAUCCUAAACUCUAAUCAGUAUUACCAAACAAUAGAUUACUGGCACAAAGAACAAAUUUUACAUAAUCAACUCUAUCCAAACUCCAAAUAUCACAUUACACACAUAAUCCUCAACAAACUACAUUUCGAUAAAUCCUUAAAAUUUCGAAACCCUAGAAAAUCAGAAUCACUUAUCUUUGGUGGAGACGCCGUACUUCUCCUGCAUCUUAGCGAUCUCAUCCUCCUUCUUCUUCUGAUCGAACCUCUUGCCCAUCUUGGCCUGCUGGUAAU
RNAcentral lists this long non-coding RNA (878 nucleotides) under Fragaria vesca (wild strawberry). RNAcentral describes it as "long non-coding RNA (FVES_LNC001747)". The record is from RNAcentral. Lineage: Eukaryota; Viridiplantae; Streptophyta; Magnoliopsida; Rosales; Rosaceae.